GCUCUUCUUGCGCAGCUUAGGUGGAAGGCUGAGAAAGGCAAUUCCGGUUGUCUGGAGCCAUCAGUGAGAUACCACUCUGGGAGAGCUAGGAGUCUAAUGGCGUUCCUUGAAUCAGGACGCUUGACAGUUUCAGGUGGGCAGUUUUACUGGGGCGGUAGCCUCCUAAAAGGUAACGGAGGCGUGCAAAGGUUCCCUCAGGCUGGACGGAAAUCAGCCAUAGAGUGUAAAGGCAGAAGGGAGCUUGACUGCAAGACCUACAAGUCGAGCAGGGACGAAAGUCGGCCUUAGUGAUCCGACGGUGCCGUGUGGAAGGGCCGUCGCUCAACGGAUAAAAGUUACUCUAGGGAUAACA
Molecule: ribosomal RNA, 352 nt
Filed under: uncultured eukaryote
Lineage: Eukaryota
Description: LSU rRNA
Rfam family: Bacterial large subunit ribosomal RNA
Source: RNAcentral